UGGAGAGAUGCCCGAGAGGCCGAAGGGGACGGUUUGCUAAACCGUUGUACCAAUACGGUACCGAGGGUUCGAAUCCCUCUCUCUCCGA
This 88-nucleotide transfer RNA is filed under the name Spirochaetes bacterium ADurb.BinA120. Its description in RNAcentral is "tRNA-Ser". It matches the Rfam family "tRNA". Rfam says of the family: Transfer RNA (tRNA) molecules are approximately 80 nucleotides in length. Their secondary structure includes four short double-helical elements and three loops (D, anti-codon, and T loops). The record is from RNAcentral. Lineage: Bacteria; Pseudomonadati; Spirochaetota.